Molecule: non-coding RNA, 189 nt
Organism: Brachypodium distachyon (stiff brome)
Lineage: Eukaryota; Viridiplantae; Streptophyta; Magnoliopsida; Poales; Poaceae
Source: Rfam
CUACUACUCCCUCCGAUCCAUAUUAAUUGUCUCAAAUUUGUCUAAAUAUGGCUGCAUCUAUGCCUAAAAAUCGUUUACAUGUCGGUGUUACUUGUCGGAAUAUUACAUGUAUCUAGACACUUUUUAAACAUAGAUACGUUCUUUUUAGGCAAAUAUGAGACAAGUAAUAUGGGUCGGAGAAAGUAGCAC